RNAcentral lists this ribosomal RNA (306 nucleotides) under Xanthomonas sp. oral taxon 037. RNAcentral describes it as "bacterial SSU rRNA". It matches the Rfam family "Bacterial small subunit ribosomal RNA", at positions 204 to 505 of the family's 1533-position model. Lineage: Bacteria; Pseudomonadati; Pseudomonadota; Gammaproteobacteria; Lysobacterales; Lysobacteraceae. The record is from RNAcentral.
GGGCCUGGCGCGAAAGAAUGAGCCGAUGCCCGAUUAGCUAGUUGGCGGGGUAAGAGCCCACCAAGGCGACGAUCGGUAGCUGGUCUGAGAGGAUGAUCAGCCACACUGGAACUGAGACACGGUCCAGACUCCUACGGGAGGCAGCAGUGGGGAAUAUUGGACAAUGGGCGCAAGCCUGAUCCAGCCAUACCGCGUGGGUGAAGAAGGCCUUCGGGUUGUAAAGCCCUUUUGUUGGGAAAGAAAAGCAGUCGGUUAAUACCAGAUUGUUCUGAACGGUACCCAAAGAAUAAGCACCAGCUAACUUUC